AUACGGAGGGUGCAAGCGUUAAUCGGAAUUACUGGGCGUAAAGCGCGCGUAGGCGGCUUGAUAAGUCGGAUGUGUAAUCCCCGGGCUUAACCUGGGAAUUGCAUUCGAUACUGUCAGGCUAGAGUGCGGUAGAGGGAAGUGGAAUUUCCGGUGUAGCGGUGAAAUGCGUAGAUAUCGGAAAGAACAUCAGUGGCGAAGGCGGCUUCCUGGAUCAACACUGACGCUGAGGUGCGAAAGCGUGGGGAGCAAACAGGAUUAGAUACCCUAGUAGUCC
Molecule: ribosomal RNA, 274 nt
Filed under: uncultured bacterium
Lineage: Bacteria
Description: partial 16S ribosomal RNA
Rfam family: Bacterial small subunit ribosomal RNA
Source: RNAcentral